This 109-nucleotide non-coding RNA is filed under the name Klebsiella aerogenes. RNAcentral's name for it is "antisense sRNA RprA". It matches the Rfam family "RprA RNA". From Rfam's summary of the family: Translational regulation of the stationary phase sigma factor RpoS is mediated by the formation of a double-stranded RNA stem-loop structure in the upstream region of the rpoS messenger RNA, occluding the translation initiation site. Clones carrying rprA (RpoS regulator RNA A) increased the translation of RpoS. The record is from RNAcentral. Lineage: Bacteria; Pseudomonadati; Pseudomonadota; Gammaproteobacteria; Enterobacterales; Enterobacteriaceae.
ACGGUUAUAGAUCAAGAUAUUGAUUUAUAAGCAUGGAAAUCCCCUGAGUGAAACAACGAAUUGCUGUGUGUAGUCCUUUGCCCAUCUCCCACGAUGGGCUUUUUUUCAC